Molecule: long non-coding RNA, 1281 nt
Organism: Varanus komodoensis (Komodo dragon)
Lineage: Eukaryota; Metazoa; Chordata; Lepidosauria; Squamata; Varanidae
Exons: 3
Source: RefSeq, a predicted model, not a curated record
GGACCUUCAGCCAUGUUUGCUGGGCCUGUGGUCCUAUUCUAGUCCUUGACUAACUCUGCCAGCCCAGUCCUUGCCAAAAUACUCCACGUUUUGAUAAAUCCCCAGUGUUGCAAUCAAGACAAGCAUUGCAAUUUCAGCAAUACAAACAUUUGGAGGAUAGAAGUUGCAUUGCCUUCCAGCAGACCCAAGCACGUGCCUUCAGACCUCUUCCAUGCAGUUCCUACACAGCUGCAAGCGCAGCCAAGCCCCACCUUGAAGCCACGGCCAAGGGCAUCAUACCUUGAUGAGCGAGACCCCGAUUGCGUCCUUCUUGAUGUGGCUUUUCAGCUGGUCACAAAGCUUCCCGAUGAACUGGUGUGGCACUACGAAGAGGAGAAUGUCCGCAUCGGCUGAAGCUUUCAGCACAUCUGGCACUGCCACCUGCAGCAAGCAAAGCAGAAGGUAAAAAAGCACCCACACAUGGUACCCGUAGCCUUUGGCAGACCACGAAGGAGCUGCUUUGCCUCAGGACUGUGAGAAGAGGUGGGAAAAUGGACCCUUGCUCUGAUGAACCCUGGCAGGGGCUCAGUCCUACACUGAAGUGAAGGGAGAUCUCGUAAUAGGUUUUCUUCAGGAAGGAGACAGGAGGGAGAAAAUCCACCCAGAAUGUCACACACGAGCAAGAGGCCCAGCCCUGCUGUCAUCAACUUUUUCAGACUCGGAAACCCCCAACGCUGGACCAUGCUUGUGAGCCACUGAUAUUGCAUGUCCAACUUUCUCCCACCUCUAAGCAGGGGACCAGCAGCAGGGGAAGGAGGAAGGACCUCGGUGCCUUUCCUGGAGAGGAAGGAGGAGCGGUUUUGGCAGACUAGCUUUCACAUCGUAGCACUGAUAGAAGCUCCAUCUGCUGCAGUGCCCCUUUUCCUACACUGCCCUUAAUGAUACGGGAGUCCCAUCUCCCUUUGCACCUGGCUCUUCCCAUCCCCCCCUCCCCCAACUCUCUCUUUCCCUCUGGCUUCUCCCCAAAGGAAAUACAUGCCCAUCAACUCCAGUCAGCAUGGACAGUGCUCAGGAAUCCUGGGAGUUGGUGUCCUCCAAAUAUUUUAAACUACAAGUGGGGAACGGCUGCUGACAGAGAAUUUUGCACAUUUCCAAUGGAAAGAAUUCGGUGAAUUCUUUUUCCACCUCCAUGACAAAAACUGGCCCAUUGCAGAGGAUGACUAGAACCCUGGGCUCAUUAUUAUGACCAUUAUUAUUAUUGCAUUGCCUUCCUCUCACAAGGGACACAAAGUGGCUUUUACA